This is a non-coding RNA of Chrysemys picta bellii (western painted turtle), 1027 nucleotides long. NCBI's taxonomy places the organism in Eukaryota, Metazoa, Chordata, Testudines, Emydidae. The record is from RefSeq and is a predicted model, not a curated record.
UGCAGGGUCAAUUCUGGCAUGACCUGGACCUCCAGUCUCCUGAGCGGCAGCAUGGUCUGCUCCAUCUUCGAGCGCUGCACCUCCUCCGGCCUACAUUAGUACGACGGAGCCGGCGCGCGGAUCCUGGAGGAAACUGAAGCUGGCAAAAGCAAUAGCAAGCUGACCAUGCGCAUCAUCUGGCAGCACCGGGGGGCGGCGCUGGAGUGCCGGGUGCAGGGCUACCGGAAUAGGUGCCUCCCCAAAUUGUCCCAGUCCCCAGCCACAGGCCGACCCCCCCGCCUGAAGGUCCUGGUGGACAUGGACGUCCCAGGCCCGAUCAGGGAGGGUGACUCGUUCACGUUGAGAUGCGUGGGGGACAGCGGGUAGCUGGACCAGGUCUACUUCUGGAUUCACAACUACGAGGACCUGCACGGCUUCCCCUCUCAGCAGAUUGAAGGGGCAACCUUGUCUCAUGGGGGCAAUUACACCUGCAUGAAGUGGGUCUCCGACAUAGGGUAUGCCUAUCCCCCAUAUCCCCCACAACCUAUGUGGCCAUCCUUGCCCCCCCUGUGGUGCAUGUGGUGGCCACCCCAGGCCCUCAUCGCAGCACGGGGGAACCCCUGUCCCUGACGUGCCGGCUGGACACCAGCGCCUAUAGCAGAUUGGACUUCUCCUGGUACAAGGAUGGCGAGCAGCUGGGGUGGGCACACGCGGAACUUGCUUUCCCGGGCGUACAGGUGGCUGAUGGGGGAGAGUAUCAGUGUGAGGUGCACAACACCCUAGGGAAAUCCACCUCCCUGCCACUCACCAUCACUGUUGUGUACGGCAGUGACUGGUACCAGCUGAGCCCUGGCCCCAUGGCAGGCUUCGGAGCAGGGGUCCUGCUGCUCUUCCUCCUGAGCAACCUCGGGGUUUAUUGUCUGGCCAGGAGACUCCGCCAACGGAAAGAACUGGGGGGGAGUCAGCAGGCAGGAAAUCCCAUGUGCCGGGGAGAUUCCCUGCCCCUCGGACGAUGCCGGCGACUAUUAUAACAGCCCCAAGGACUAUU